Podarcis lilfordi (Lilford's wall lizard) is the source of this 76-nucleotide non-coding RNA. The record is from the annotation of a GenBank genome assembly. Lineage: Eukaryota; Metazoa; Chordata; Lepidosauria; Squamata; Lacertidae.
GAUCAGAUGACUGGUCAAUCGGUAGAGCAUGAGGCUCGUAGUCUCAGCGCCGUGGGUUCAAGCCCCACAUUGGGCA